ACCUAACUGGGAUAGUUCGGUCAGUAGAGUAUGAGACUCUUAAUCUCAGAGCCGUGGGUCUGAGCCCCACAUUGGGCA
This is a non-coding RNA of Podarcis lilfordi (Lilford's wall lizard), 78 nucleotides long. The record is from the annotation of a GenBank genome assembly. NCBI's taxonomy places the organism in Eukaryota, Metazoa, Chordata, Lepidosauria, Squamata, Lacertidae.